CUGCGAACGGCUCAUUAUAUAAGUUAUCGUUUAUUUGAUAGCACCUUGCUACUUGGGUAACCGUGGUAAUUCUAGAGCUAAUACAUGCUGAAAAUCCCGACUCCGGAAGGGAUGUGUUUAUUAGAUCCAAAGCCAACGCCCCCCGGGCUCACUGGUGAUUCAUGAUAACCGCUCGAAUCGCACGGCCUUGCGCCGGCGAUGGUUCAUUCAAAUUUCUUCCCUAUCAACUUUCGAUGUUUGGGUAGUGGCCAAACAUGGUUGCAACGGGUAACGGAGGGUUAGGGCUCGACCCCGGAGAAGGAGCCUGAGAGACGGCUACUACAUCCAAGGAAGGCAGCAGGCGCGCAAAUUACCCAAUCCCGACGCGGGGAGGUAGUGACAAUAAAUACCGAUAUAGGGCUCUUUCGGGUCUUAUAAUUGGAAUGAGUACAAUUUAAAUCCCUUAACGAGGAACAAUUGGAGGGCAAGUCUGGUGCCAGCAGCCGCGGUAAUUCCAGCUCCAAUAGCGUAUAUUAAAGUUGUUGUGGUUAAAAAGCCCGUAGUUGAACCUUGGGCCUGGCUGGCCGGUCCGCCUCACCGCGUGCACUGGUCCGGCCGGGCCUUUCCCCCCGCGGAACCCCAUGCCCUUCGCUGGGCGUGGCGGGGAAACGGGACGUUUACUUUGAAAAAAUUAGAGUGCUCCAGGCAGGCCUAUGCUCGAAUACAUUAGCAUGGAAUAAUGGAAUAGGACGCGCGGUUCUAUUUUGUUGGUUUCUAGGACCGCCGUAAUGAUUGAUAGGGACAGUCGGGGGCGUCAGUAUUCAACCGUCAGAGGUGAAAUUCUUGGACCGGUUGAAGACUAACUACUGCGAAAGCAUUCGCCAAGGAUGUUUUCAUUAAUCAGGGACGAAAGCUAGGGGAUCGAAGACGAUCAGAUACCGUCGUAGUCUUAGCCAUAAACUAUGCCGACUAGGGAUCGGGCGAUGUUAUCCUU
This 973-nucleotide ribosomal RNA is filed under the name Ophiocordyceps unilateralis. Its description in RNAcentral is "SSU rRNA". It matches the Rfam family "Eukaryotic small subunit ribosomal RNA", at positions 87 to 1070 of the family's 1831-position model. Lineage: Eukaryota; Fungi; Ascomycota; Sordariomycetes; Hypocreales; Ophiocordycipitaceae. The record is from RNAcentral.